This 65-nucleotide transfer RNA is filed under the name Dipodomys ordii (Ord's kangaroo rat). It matches the Rfam family "tRNA". From Rfam's summary of the family: Transfer RNA (tRNA) molecules are approximately 80 nucleotides in length. Lineage: Eukaryota; Metazoa; Chordata; Mammalia; Rodentia; Heteromyidae. The record is from Rfam by way of RNAcentral.
GGUGGCUCAGGGGGAGAGUGCUUGCCUUGCAUGCAAGAGGCCCUGGGUUCGAUUCCUUAGUACCA